Molecule: ribosomal RNA, 307 nt
Filed under: uncultured Candidatus Saccharibacteria bacterium
Lineage: Bacteria; Candidatus Saccharimonadota
Description: bacterial SSU rRNA
Rfam family: Bacterial small subunit ribosomal RNA
Source: RNAcentral
GAUGAAUGCUGGCGGCGUGCCUAACACAUGCAAGUCGAGCGGUAAGGCCCCUUCGGGGGUACACGAGCGGCGGACGGCUGAGUAACGCGUGGGAACAUGCCCCAAAGUGAGGGAUAAGCUCCAGAAAUGGAGUCUAAUACCGCAUAUGGUCUUCGGAUUAAAGGAUUUAUCCGCUUUGGGAGUGGCCUGCGUACGAUUAGAUAGUUGGUGAGGUAAUGGCUUACCAAGUCUACGAUCGUUAACUGGUCUGAGAGGAUGAUCAGUCAGACUGGAACUGAGACACGGUCCAGACUCCUACGGGUGGCAG